This 440-nucleotide ribosomal RNA is filed under the name uncultured bacterium. RNAcentral's name for it is "bacterial SSU rRNA". It matches the Rfam family "Bacterial small subunit ribosomal RNA", at positions 338 to 776 of the family's 1533-position model. The record is from RNAcentral.
CCUACGGGGGGCAGCAGUAGGGAAUAUUGGUCAAUGGGUGAGAGCCUGAACCAGCCAUGCCGCGUGCAGGAAGACGGCCUUCUGGGUUGUAAACUGCUUUUUCCAGGGGAUAAAAUACCCGUGCGCGGGGAAUUGAAGGUACCUGGUGAAUAAGCCACGGCUAACUACGUGCCAGCAGCCGCGGUAAUACGUAGGUGGCAAGCGUUGUCCGGAUUUAUUGGGUUUAAAGGGUGCGUAGGCGGCUUUGUAAGUCAGUGGUGAAAGACGGCAGCUCAACUGUCGAGGUGCCAUUGAUACUGCAGGGCUAGAGUACUGAUGAGGUAGGCGGAAUGGACGGUGUAGCGGUGAAAUGCUUAGAUAUCGUCCAGAACACCGAUAGCGAAGGCAGCUUACUAAGGAGUAACUGACGCUGAGGCACGAAAGUGUGGGGAUCAAACAGG